Long non-coding RNA from Alosa alosa (allis shad), 1029 nucleotides. RefSeq lists it as uncharacterized. The transcript is spliced from 4 exons. Lineage: Eukaryota; Metazoa; Chordata; Actinopteri; Clupeiformes; Clupeidae. The record is from RefSeq and is a predicted model, not a curated record.
CCGAGGCCCCGCACAGAGACCAGGGACCGAACAUCACCUUGAAGGACAUAUAGUGCAGUGAUGGCAGUUGUUGCUUAACAUUAAUGGCUUCAUCAUAAGCGCUGGCAUACUGCUGCACUCCCCUCUGUUGCUCUGAGUGUCUCUGCAUCCUUCUGCUAAUGCAUGUAUGUGCAUGUGAGGCAACAACAGUUGCCACGGCAAUCCAGGAAGCUUUCACCUGAAAUAGCUCCUGUCUGAACUGUCAGGAAGAGGCUGUGUAUGCGAGGCAGGAAGGGCCUAAUAUACGUACUGAGGGUUGAGGACAGUGUCAACGCCGACAGCAACAACACAGAUGCCCUCUGCUCUGGGCCGCUGCGCGGGCACCGAGCAGCCCUCUCUCUCCCUACACUGCUCUCCAGUCUGCAUUAGUUAGCUGCUCUGAAGGUCAUUCAAGACGCCUCAAGUAUUUUCUCUGUGCGGAUGAUUGAGCUGCGAAACGCCUUUUCACGCUACCGCUCACCUCUGAUUGGCUCGGUUUUGCUGAGAGGAGCAAUGUGAACGAGCACAGUUCAUCGGCACAGACAAACCACAGCCAGGUAGUGGACAUGAAGGGGAGAGACUCCCAAAAACGCCCUUCACUGACCUCUUUUUCACACACAAGAAUGCUAAAUCAGGCUGAUAUGUAUUUUUUUUGUGUGUGUGUGUUUAUUUGAGCCAAAAGCAUUCCAUGGCCCAAAGCCCUCAACUAGUUUGUGUGCACUGUGUGUGUGUGUGUGUUUGAUGCUUAGUGAAAAUCUGUCGAUUUGAAAUGGAAAGUGUUUGGAUUUAAAAAUAUGUGCAGAAAUAUUUUUAUAUAAAGUAAGUUAAGUUCAUUUAGGUCCUCAAAAUGUUUUUAUUUUUUUAUUAAAGAGAUAAAAAAAAGUUACAGUUACCAUGGCCAAUUCAAUCUGGCCAAAGAAAUGGGGCAAUUUGCUAAAGAUUUUUUUGUAUGGCAUUUCAAAGGCCCAGAAGUUUGUUUGGUAGAUUUUCCAAUCUAAUGAUUUUGCAAUA